RNAcentral lists this ribosomal RNA (311 nucleotides) under uncultured eukaryote. RNAcentral's name for it is "partial 18S ribosomal RNA". It matches the Rfam family "Eukaryotic small subunit ribosomal RNA", at positions 1470 to 1796 of the family's 1831-position model. The record is from RNAcentral.
CCCCUAGACGUUCUGGGCUGCACGCGCGCUACAAUAAUACGCACAGCGAGUAUCACCGAGCUCGAAAGGGCAAGGUAAACAAUUGAAAAGGUACUGUAAUGGUUAUAGAUCCUUGUAAUUAUUGAUCUUCAACGAGGAAUUCCUAGUAAGUAUGUGUCAUCAUCACGCACUGAUUACGUCCCUGCCCUUUGUACACACCGCCCGUCGCUCCUACCGAUUGGGUGAGCCGAUGAAACUCUCGGAUGUAGGCUAUUCAUAGCCCGCAGAAGAGAUUUGAAUCGUAGCGCUUAGAGGAAGGAGAAGUCGUAACA